CAGAUAACUCUGAAAUAUCAGCUGGUGGCA
RNAcentral lists this non-coding RNA (30 nucleotides) under Macaca fascicularis (crab-eating macaque). The record is from RNAcentral. Lineage: Eukaryota; Metazoa; Chordata; Mammalia; Primates; Cercopithecidae. RNAcentral also lists the same sequence under 1 other name.